This 468-nucleotide ribosomal RNA is filed under the name uncultured bacterium. Its description in RNAcentral is "partial 16S ribosomal RNA". It matches the Rfam family "Bacterial small subunit ribosomal RNA", at positions 28 to 507 of the family's 1533-position model. The record is from RNAcentral.
GACGAACGCUGGCGGCGUGCUUAACACAUGCAAGUCGAACGGAAAGGCCCUGCUUUUUUGGGGUGCUCGAGUUGCGAACGGGUGAGUAACACUUGAGUAACCUGCCCUUGACUUUGGGAUAACUUCAGGAAACUGGGUCUAAUACCGGAUAGGAGCUCCUGCUUCAUGGUGGGGCUUGGAAGGUUUCGGCGGUUGGUGAUGGACUCGCGUCUUAUCAGCUUGUUGGUGGGGUAGUGGCUUACCAAGACUUGGCCGGGUAGCCGUACUGAGAGGGUGACCGGACAAAUUGGGACGGAGAUACGGCCCAGCCUCCUCCGGGAGGCAGCAGUGGGGAAUAUUGCACAAUGGGCGGAAGCAUGAUGCAGCCAAGCAGCGUGCGGGAUGACGGCAUUCGGGUUGUAAACCGCUUUCGCCUGUGACGAAGCGUGAGUGACGGUAAUGGGUAAAGAAGCACCGGCUAACUACGUG